RNAcentral lists this ribosomal RNA (452 nucleotides) under uncultured bacterium. RNAcentral's name for it is "bacterial SSU rRNA". It matches the Rfam family "Bacterial small subunit ribosomal RNA", at positions 44 to 492 of the family's 1533-position model. The record is from RNAcentral.
AUGCCUAAUACAUGCAAGUCGAACGCACUGUUUACAGUGAGUGGCGAACGGGUGAGUAACACGUAGAUAACCAACCCAUUAGACGAGGAUAACCGAUGGAAACGUCGGCUAAUAUUGGAUAGGAUCUAGAGACAGAAGUUUUUAGGUUUAAAGUAGCUUUCGGGCCAUGCUUUUGGAUGGGACUGCGUCGCAUUAGCUAGUUGGUUGGGGUAAUGGCCUACCAAGGCAACGAUGCGUAGCUGGGCUGAGAGGCUGAACAGCCACACUGGGACUGAGACACGGCCCAGACUCCUACGGGAGGCAGCAGUAGGGAAUUUUCGGCAAUGGACGAAAGUCUGACCGAGCAAUGCCGCGUGAACGAAGAAGGUCUUCGGAUUGUAAAGUUCUGUUAUUUGGAAAGAAAGUGUGGACUAGGAAAUGAGUCUAUAUGGACGGUACCGAAUGAGGAAGCC